UUUUUAUUAUGCUAUAAAUGGAUACAAAUUAAAUCAUUAUUAAAACAUACAUAUAGAUUGCAUAUGAGUUUAGAGAAAAUGAUAAAAUUAUUUAUAUUGAUCAUAUAUGUCUUUUGCCUAUUCAUAUUUCUGGGAAUCAAAUUGGAGAUUCGGAGUAGUUUGUGAAUCAAACAUAACAAAUUAAUUUCCCAUCAGAGAUACAUAUUCAAAUCAACAUAUUCUUUUGUAAUAUAUGAGUUAAAAGAGAAAAUGGAAAAUUAUGGCUAAUUUAGUUUGCACACAAUACGGUCUAUUCCAUCAUUCAUCAAAAAAUCACUAAUGAUACGAAGCUAUAGAUUUAGAAACAACGUCAAAAACCCAUGGUCAAAUCAUUAUUCAAAUGAGUUUUUAUUGAAAAUCCAUCUAAUAAACACAUGGAGUAUAAUUGAACCUAAUUUUGACAACAUCAUUUAGAUUAAGGCCACGUGUAUAUAUAAAUUGUGUUUACAAUUAUACAAUUGGACAUGAUCAAUAGACAGAGGAUACUUUAUAACUCACGAGUUCCUUUGAGUUUGAGCCAACAGUAGAAUGCGAUUUUUUCUUGGGCGAAGAAGAGAAUACAUUAGAGAAUUCUGUAACAGAAUUAUAUCUUCGAUAAUCAAUUUUCUCUCCAUAAUCAUCAACUCUUGAAUGAGAAGCUGGUUCUCCAUGGUAGGUGUAGUACCCUUGAUCGAUUUCAUGGUAAAAAUCGUUGUUACGUAGAGCACAUCCUGAUGAAAGACAUUUAUAUUUUCUGCGACUUUUUGUUUUUCUUAUUACUCUGAAAAUCAUAGGCAGAAGACCCUCCAUAAUAUGUAUCACAAUUCACAACCUUAAUUCCUUCCUUUUUGUUCUUGAAGAAUAAUAAGCACAGAGAGAGAUAGAAUGUUGGUUUUUGAAGAUUUUUAAAUGGAUAAUUAUAGGCACUUGUUGGGUUAGGUGAGUUUCGAUUUUAUUAUUUUUAUACAAGUAUAAAUUUAUAUAUGAAUGUGUUAUAUGGUGACAUGUUUUGUGUGCUAAAAAAACAAUGAAGCAUAUUAAUUUAGUUAAUAUGAGUUUUGACUGGGCUAGCAGGGCAAUGCGCAUGCCAAUGAAACCAAUCCGAAUGCUGUUCUAAGGAAGAAGUUGCCCAAGUUAGUUAUUUUUAGGACAAUUUGACUUUUUAUUUGGUCUAUCUGUAAAUGACAUAUUUGUGAUGUCUACAUGUAAACAACUAUGCUUUUAAUUUAUUCCUAACCUCAUUAUUCCUCAAAAAGACUUUUACCCCUGAAAGUUAGUGGUUAUGAUCUGGAUUCUAGAAGAAGGUCUUUACAUCAACUAAUUACCGUGGGCGCAAAACUGCAUCUGAAACGUAAUCAACAUGAAUGGAUAAGUGAAGUUUUUCUCACUCGAUGAUGAACUGAUAAAAACACAAACUAAUAAUAUAGGUGAAGAUGCCAACAUAACAAUAUCAAUAUUACUAGAUAAGCUAAGUUUCACACACAAUAAAGUUUAGAAAGUUAAUGUCACUUUUUGGUUAAGUGGUAAAACUGAAGGUGGGAAAAACACAAGAAGGGGGGUUGAAUUGUGUUUUCUUUUUCUCAAUAUAAAAUCUUCUUCUUGAGAUCACUUCAGAAGCUGUUUAAGAAUGCUUCUGAUGUGAUAACACUUCAGAUGCAAUGGAUUUGCUUCUGAUGUGCAAUUCAGAAUUGGAUACGCAGCGGAGUAAAAACAGAGUGAGAGAGAAGAAAGAAAGACACAAACAAUUAUACUGGUUCCUUCCACAAACCGGAAGUAGUCCAGUCCCCCUUGCACUUCUAAGGAGAGUUCCAUUAAGUUUAAUCACAACUGAUUACAACUGCUCAAUACUACACCUAGUAUGAGACUUCAAAAUUGCUCAAGCACGCAGGCAAGAGACUUCCUUUGCUCAAGCACUAAAGCAAGAGACUUCCUAUGCUCAAGCACUAAAGCAAGAGACUUCUAUUCAAACAGAAUUACACAGAAAAUUGUUUGAGUUUGAACACUUGAUAUACAAUCAGUGAUGUUCACAGUACAAUGCAAUUGAAAGACUCUCUAGACUUAAGAAUUUCUAAGAUAUAUCAAAUGAACACAGAAAUUCAAAGUGCUUUUGUGUGAAACAAAUUUGGCAGAGUUUGGGCGCUUUUUUUACUAGUUGUCUGGUCACACUGAUCUUCAAGUCUUCACUCCUUUAUAUAGAGGUGUGAGAGAGUCGUUGAGAUCUUUAAGCACAUCAAUAGAGUCGUUGUGAAACCUUGAUCAAUCACCAAUGAUCUUUUGUCUGAUUUGGAUGUUGUCCUAAGAAGAAUUACGUUCAAAUCCAUUCCUAUCUUGAAGGAACAUUUCUGCAGGCAGAGCUGUUUUUCUUGUCUUGUAGCGUAGACACAGUCAGAGUCGUGGAGGUAGUGGUUGUACACUUUGUACUUUGUCAACUCUCAUUGAAGGACAAGCACCCAAUGCUUUUCAAAUGAACCGUUGCCACCUUCCCUUUAGUCUUUCGUUUUCUUAGACGAGGUUGAAUCUUCUGAUCAACUUCAGUUUCUGGUGAUAUACAGCUUCUGAUCAAAUUGGCUUCUGAAGGACUCGCUUAUGAUAAACUCGCUUUUGAUGACGUCAUCAGAUGCAUUUUGGUUUCAGAAGCACUUUCAACUUCAGAGGCAGAUUUCUUCAGAUGCUUUAGGUUUCUCUUCUUGUUGAUUCCUUUGCUCUCUUUUGUUCUUCCAAGACCUAUUAAAUUUGAUCAACUUUGUCUAUGGUCCUGUACACUUGAACAAAUAUUAGCAAUAUCCAAUUGACAAUUUUUAAUACCUUAUUAUCAUCAAAACUUAUUAAGGUUUAUUGUAAAACAUAUUUUGUUCCAACAAAAACAACAAUCCUUAGACUCGAAAAUCACAGGUUCGAGCCUUGUCCAUUAUUGCCGCCUCUCUUAGCCACGCUUUCAAAAUUCAAAGCCCUGCAUAUCACAUUGGAGUUGAGAUACCUACUUCUGGGACAUUAGUUAAGGAAAUAAAAAUAAUAAAUUUUACAUUGAAAACAAUAUCUUCUAUUGUACAUUUUUUAGUAUUUAAUUACACAAAUUCUCAAAAAAAAAUUACUAUACUUGUUUCUUUAACUAAUAUCCAUAUCCUAGAGAUAAUAGUUAGCAUUUUCCAUAAAUUAAUUAACCUCUCUAAUUGAUCAACAGUUGGAAGUAAUCAAAUCAUCUACAUAUGAUAGUAAAAGAAAGAGAAUAUCUUAUAAGCAAUAUAAAAUAAUAAAACAAAUUGUAAAAAUGAAUAAACUAGACAAACUUACCUCUACCUCCCAAAUAAUUUUGGCAAUACCGUCGAUGUGCAAUGAUAAGACAACAAAUGUAUGUACGAGCAUAUGAUAUAUGACUUUAGAACAUGUAUUGGUUGUGUCUUUGCCUAUGAUAGAUAGACACGGAUAAUAGAUUAAUGUGAUCUAUUUAAAUAAGUGGAUUAAAUAGAUCACAGUAAUCUAUUAAUCUAUUAUCUGUGUCUAUCUAUUUUAUAAAUAGAAAAUAAAUAAAAGAUCAUAUGGAGAAAAGCCAAACCCUUCAUCAAUACAGAGUUAAAAAACUAUUAAAGCCAACUAUUCUCUAAUACCUCUCAAAAAAAAAAAAACUAUUCUCUAAUAUAACUAUUUGGCUCCUCUGUUGAUAAAUUUGAUUUGAUUGUUUUUCAUGAUAGUUUAAAGAUUUUCCGUAAUUAAGGACAUUUGAAUUGAUUUUAAUAUUUUUUGACUAAAUUGGUAAGAUAGUGGUAGUUUAGAGACCAAAUGAAGGGUUUAUUAUGACAACUAGUCUAAAUUGACAAAAAGGAGUACUGGCCUUAACGCGAAUGGACCGGACCAGCAGCAUCUGCCGGACGGAAGUGGUUAUGGUGCAUAAGGAUUUCCUUAUGCACCGUGCAUAAUUGCUUCUUACACCCCAAUCCAUUUUGUCAUACACCCCCCUCCCAUCAAACCAAACGAAAGCCCAUUUUCAUUUCUCUCCAAAACCAACCGAAAACAACACUCUCCAAAAGCCCAUUUUCACUAAGAACAUUUGACGGCGUCGUUUUUGCCUUUCUCUGGCUUUGUGAUUCUGAAACCAAUAGAAAACAUUUUUGCCUUCAAUUUUUCCAAUUUUUCUAAGCUGGGCAGUGAUUUGUUGGAUUUGCUCAGCAGAAGGUGUUCUUGUUCCUCUUCUAUACAAUUCUUCCACUGCUGCAGAUGGAUUAUUAUUAUUAUUCAACUCUGAUCUCUUGCUAUGAUCUCCUACUGAUGCUAUAAAACAUCAUCAUGACACUUUUAGUUUACACAUACAUACAUAUGGUAAGUGUAAAUAAGAAGAGAAAAGAGUAUAUACCUUGCUGCUGCAGAUUGUGAUGAUAUUGUGAAAAUAAAUCAUUGCCACCAUGAAUGCGGUUUAAGGAAGGAGUUAUAGUUGAAGUGUUGUUAGGAGAAGUAGUAGGGACUGGGAUUGGGACUGGUCUUGACAUGAGAGGCCUUAGUUUCCUUCCACAUAAUGGAUAAUCAGCCAUGUUGAACUCACCACCUUCACUGUAACCCACCAUCCACAUGUUGUCAACUAGGCCUUUUCUCACUAAAAGGCUAAUUAUAAAUAGUAGAACGAAUGAAGUUACUUAGCUAUAAACACUGUGUUAUAAGUUUGUAAUAAUGAUUUUAUCGGAAAUAUUUUGAUAUGAUCUAGUGGAAAUCAUUCAUUUCACAUUCUUUAUUGUUACAAAACCAUUAGACCAUUAGUUUGGUUUCACAUAGAACACUAUCAAAACCAUUAGACCAUACUUAUGGUUUCAGUAAUAUUUUUUACUUAAAACCAUUUAAAAAUAAUGAUUUUCAUGUUAUAAGUUUGUAAUAAUGAUUUUAUCGGGAAUAUUUUGAUAUGAUGUAAUGGAAAUCAUUCAUUUCACAUUCUUUAUUGUUACAAAACCAUUAGACCAUUAGUUUGGUUUCACAUAGAACAGUAUCAAAACCAUUAGACCAUACUUAUGGUUUCAGUAAUAUUUUUUACUUAAAACCAUUUAAAAAUAAUGAUUUUUAUGUUAUAAGUUUGUAAUAAUGAUUUUAUCGGGAAUAUUUUGAUAUGAUCUAGUGGAAAUCAUUCAUUUCACAUUCUUUAUUGUUACAAAACCAUUAGACCAUUAGUUUGGUUUCACAUAGAACACUAUCAAAACCAUUAGACCAUACUUAUGGUUUCACAUAGAACACUAUCAAAACCAUUACACCCUUAUCUUGGUUUUACAUACAAAACUAUCAAAACCAUUAAACCAUACUUAUGGUUUCACAUAGAACACUAUCAAAACCAUUACACCAUACUUAUGGUUUCACAUAGAACACUAUCAAAACCAUUAAACCAUACUUAUGGUUUCACAUAGAACACUAUCAAAAUCAUUAGACCAUACUUAUUUCUUACUAUCAGAAUUCAGAGCCAUAAAAAUCAAGCACAAGGCCACAUUCCUUGGUAACAUGUUUUGGAUUAUCUGAUGAACUAAUCUGUUUCUUGUCAUGCCGACAAACACUGAUCCAUUUCACAUGAACAUUGUUAUCAUGGUUUUUGGGUGCCAAGCCAUUAAUUGGACUUGAACCUUUCGACCGUUGAUAUCUCUCUUUUUUCUUGGGAAGGGUAAAAGGAGAAAAACUCUUAAAAAGUUCUAGAUUCGGGGGUCGUUUUCACUACGGGAAGGUGUUAGGCACCUGGAGCGAUUAUGGUAUUCCAUAAGAACCGUUCUCCUAAGUUUAUUUCUACGCUUUAGUUUUAUUGCUUAUUUGUAAAAAGAAGGUAUGAUUAGUGAAGAAUGGGGGUGAGAAGAAGUAGAAUUUGAUUUUUAUUUCGGCUUGGAGGGGUUAAAGUCCCUUGCCUACGUACCGUUUUAAGGGAUCAAAACCGAUCGUAGUUCAUUCUCAAAAAAUAGUUUUUGUUUUUGUUGGUUGAUUUUAAGUUUGAAAAGAGAUUUUGAAGAAUAGAGAUGAGAGGCCUCGAGGGCAUGAGAUUUGAAAAAAAAGUGAGGUGGAGUUAGCUUUUUCAAAAUGAAGUCCAAGUAUAGUUAAAAUUUAUUAGAAAUUUUAUUUAAGAAAAUAAAAGGGAAAUAAGGAGUUUUGACUCCUAUUUUAUUUUCAAAAAGGUUUUCAAGCGAGGUUAUUUGCAUGUUUUGGGAAAAAGUUGGAUUUUUCUCUAAGUGUUUAAACCUAAGCAUUCAUCUAAACAUGCAAUCCUAGCCAUACAUCUAGGGUGAGUGUGUGCGUGCCGGUGCGUCAUAGUGUCCAUAAUCCAUAUUACAAAAAUUACCUAAAUACAUUCUAUGGCCCCUUUGCCAAGCUACAAACCAAUGAUAACAAAUUACACCACCAAAUGAAUUAAAACUUGCAAAAAUAAAUGCUAGGCUAAAGGAAGUGAAGGGGGUGGUGGAAUGCUAUGAAAAUGUAUGACACAUGAGAUGAAAUGGUUAGUAAUCACAAAGCACAAAAUAGUAGGAAAUAAACAAAAAGAAAUUGCAUAGGAAAAGCAAAAGAAAGUUAUAAAGUGGUAACAAACCUAAAAAAUUUGAUAUGAUACUUAAAGGUACUUGUAACCCAUAAUCCUCACAUCAUAGCAAUUUUGAAAGAGAUUUUGUUUCAAGCCAUGACAUGAAAUUAAUGGAGACACAUGCAAGCAAAGUAUCACACCAAAUUCAUAGAGAAAUUUGACACUUUAUUUCUUUAAAACGAACACUUGUUGCUUGUAAAACAAGAAAUCCAUAAAAUCAUAUCCAAAAACAGCAAAAAGAAGCCAUGUCCAGAGGCAUAUUCAUCACAAGAUAGGGUAUCAUUUAUUCAUAACACAUACCAAAGUAUCAAGAACAAAAAACAUAGCAAAAAGUAUACCAAAAGUGUAAAGAUACAUGGAGAUUAGUUCAUGCCAUUUUACCAUUUUUUUACAUGCAAAAAUACCAUAGAAAUACCAAAAAUACAUCAAGAAACAACUAGGAUUUUUUAGGAAUUUUUUGUGAAAAAGGUAAGCAAGCAACAGGUUCAGAUAGCAAGAAAGGCAGUGCAAAUAGCAAGAAGAAACUAAAAACGUAAAAGAAAACUUAAGCCCAAACCAAAACCCAAUACAGACUGGGCCUGGAUCAUCCAAAGGCCUCAGAGGCGUUGGAUUGAUCCAGAUUCAGAUCUGACGGUUCAAAACACACAGCGCAUGGCAACGUAGAUCAAGCACAUGGUAACAACGCAUCACAACCAUUCAAAAGAGAAAACCCUAGAUCCUACGGUUCAAGAUGAAAACGAAAUAAACCGGACCGGUUCAAGCGUCUAUAUAAGGACGUGGACACCGGUCCAGUCCAUUUCUUUCAUCUCUUUCUCUCUCUAAGCUUCCCUCUCCUCUCGCCUCUCUCUAGAACCUCGCCGCCGGUGAGGAUGAAGUGACGGCGGAGACCUUGAAGGUCCGCCGGAAUCUUCAUCUUCUCCGGCGAGCUCAAGCAGUUUCCGGUGAAAAAUUUCCAGAACUUAAAGAUUUUUACAUCUUUUAAUUCGUCCUUUAACCCUAAACACGAAUCCAGCAAUUAUUUUCUCAAACACAGCUUGAUACGAUGUAGAUCUGAAAAUUUCAUACGGUUUUGAAAUUGAUUUUCUUUGAUCUUUUUUGAAAGAAAAGGUUUAGAUCUUUACGGAUCUACAUCAUUUCGUUGUUUACUACUUCCCUGGUGCUUGUUCUUGUUUUCCAAAACUUAGAUCCUUAUGGAUCUAGGUUUCGUGUUUACGGUUAUGGUUUUCUUUGAAUUCUGGAAAUUUUGAUAUGCUUGCUCGCGUGAUUUUACAGGUUUAACUGUGAUUAUAAACUUUUCAAAAGAGGAAAAUGAGUUUUACCUGAAGUUUUGGUUGAAACUUUUGAUGGAGGAAAAUCUUUGGAAAUCUUGAAUGUUCUUGAUGAUUUUUUGAUCUUCUCUGGACCGAAAAUAAAUCGGUUUACCGGUUCUGUUUCUUCAUCUUCUCCGAUUCUUUCUCUACUUCUCUCUCUGUGAUUACGUGCUUGAGCUUGCUUCUUAGAUUUGCGUGAGGAAACCCUGUGAUCAGUGCUUGAGCUUGCUUCAAUGUGAGCUCGCACUUGGAAUUACAGGAGAAUUUUCAAUCCAGUGAUGAAGAUUCACACGAAUCUCUGAGGAUUGAUGCAAAAAUCAAUGAAAUCGUGUAUGAAUUUUGGUUCUGGAAAUUUUUAGGGUUCUUGUGUUCUUGAUGAAUUUGAUGAUUUUGAUCUGUAACUGAAAGGAGAGAGAUUGUGGUUUCUGUUUGUGAUGUGGCGUGUAAUUAAUGGGUCUGUGUGGCACUGCACACCUUUUAUAGCUUGACAUGUGUGCUUCUGAACCAAUGAGAAAGUGACACCUGGACCUGGGAAAAAAAAAUGGCACGGCCUUGGCAAACUUGGCUUCUGGACCUUUCUGCAAAAAUCAAGAAUUUGGGGACUAAACUGCAAAAUUAAUCACAAAAAAAGGCUUGAAAUGAAAUUUAAAAAACAGUAUGGACAAAAUGCAAUUUUGGGACCUCAAUUGAGGGACCAAAAUGCAAUUAAAAAUAAAAUUGAGUAAAAACGUAAUUUGACCAAAAGUAAAGCGAAACAAAAAAUAAAACUGACAAAAUGGACUAAAACGAACCAAUGGCCUAAAUGAGGUACUUCAAAGUAACCUCUCUAUGCCAAAAUUUUGUGUGAAAUGACCAAAAUGCCCCUAGGGCUAAAAUUGACCUAAACAGAUUCAAAUUGACUUGACACUGACUCAGAUGCAAGUUUGAAAUGAAUUUAACAAGGUUUACUGAUGAAAUGUAAAAAAAACAAUCUGAAGAGACUCAGAGACAGUCACAAGGAUGAAAAUGGGUCCCACUGCGGGAAAUGACCAAAAUACCCUUCUGUAUGACUUUUUGUAAAUUUUGAAAUAAACUGUAGAAAAAGCAAUGUAAUGAUUCAGAGACACUCUUGAAUGACUUACAAGACAAGUAAAGACAUUUCGAAAGGUUUUAUGCAUGAAAAACAUAGGUAAAAUUGUGAUUGAAAACACUGCGUGGCAGAGACAAUUUGAACUGUGCAGUUGAAAUUUAAUAAUUGGCAAAGUUUGAAAUGAAAUUGGGCCCAGUAUUUUUAGGUCCAAAAAUAGGGUAUAACAAACAUGAUAAAGACCAUAGAUGGUAUGGGCAAGUGGGCAAUGGUUGAUGGGCUAAUAAGAAAAAUGUGAACCAAGACAAAAAGAGAGUGUGUGGCCAAACUGGAUGGAGUAAUGGCGGUUCUAUAAGCAACUAGGUGCAUUGCUUCAGGCCACCAAGCACCAUCACACUCUAUUGUUAAUCUUCUCUUACAUGGUGUCUCAAUGAGUAAUCUUUUCUUUUUUAUUUCUAAAUAAAAAAGAAAAGCAGAGAAGCAUAGGGUAUUCAUGGUCACCUCCAUAACAAGUUCGACCAGGUUAGAAGCACUUUUGAGUACACUAACAAUAUGCAAAAGUUCUUCUCUUCGAUCCAAAUUCACGAUAUUUAAUUUCAGAUACUUUAAGCUUAUCAGCUGUGAUGGAUGAAUGAUAUCUGCAUAUAACAUCUAUGCAUACAAACAACAAAGUUGUGAGAUAUAUUCAUACAACACUUCAAAUGGAAAUAACACAACUUUCAAUGUAAAUAUUGGAUUGGAUCAUGAAUCAAAUUAACUGACCUUGGAGUCUAAUCCCACAGUAAGUCUCUGAAUUUUUGGCAAAAUAUUAUUCAAACCAGAUAUCCCAUCCCGAUAAACUAUCAGUGUAAGAUCAAUUAGAUUCUUUGCUUUCUCCAAACAAAUUGACUUGAUGGCAUGAUUACAUUUACAUUGUAUGCGGAAGACCGUGAGAGUAGGAGCAGAUAAAUCAACACAUUCAUAACCAGAACAUUGUACAGUGUAGAGCUCUUGAAGUAAUGAGCAGCCAAAAAUAAGACUCAAGUGGACCAAACUCAAAUCUAAUGCAUUCUAAAUGAAGGUGCAACAAACAUUUAAAGCCACAUAAAUUAGGCGGAACUAAGAACUUAAAUUUGCAAAUUCAAACGUGAGUCAAUUCUUGACAAGAGAAGAGAUGAGAUGGCAUGCGAUAGAUAUAAUAUCUAUCGUUCACAAGCUGAAUAUUUUUAACACCUUUCCUUGACGAAAACAUAACCCACCUAAUGAGAUAUCCAGAUUUGAAACCCAAAAAGUUAGAAGUGAUGAAAAGUAUAAACUUAUAUAUCGGUCCAUUGUGGAGGAAAAGAACUUCCGUGAUAAUUCUUGAAACAUCAAGGGCUUCAAGAUCCUUGUACUUGCAAAAAAAAUCUUGACAAAACUCAAGUCGUGGGACUGUAAUCCACAUAUACCUCCACUUUCUAGACAGAACACUAGUCCUCACUAGGUCUCGGGCGUUCAAGUGUUCUAGGAUGCCAUCGAUGACAUUACUUGGUAAGUCACUGAUUCGAUCAAUGUGAUCACCGCAAUUGGCCUUCUUCGUGAACAGAGUCAUCAGUGAACUACAAAUUCAAGCAAAAGAGUAAAUUGAUCCUUUACAUAUCAUAUAUCAGAAAUUGAUCCUUAUCCAUAAGAGAAGCUAAAUUGAUCCUAAUAUCAACAAUUGAAUCAAAAAUUUGAAUCACUACGAACAGAAACCAUUAACAAAAAUUCUUAAUUUAAAUCAAAAAUUUAGCUUCUCAUGGCACAUUAACAAAUCACUAAGAACAAAAACCAUCAUAAGAGAACAGAAGAGAAGCUAAAUUAAUCCUAAUAUCAACAAUUGAAUCAAAAAUUUGAAUCACUAAGAACAGAAACUAUUAACAAAAAUUCUUAAUUUAAAUCAAAAAUUUAGCUUCUCAUGGCACAUUAACAAAUCACUAAGAACAAAAACCAUCAUAAGAGAACAAAAGAGAAGCUAAAUUGAUCCUAAUAUCAACAAUUGAAUCAAAAAUUUGAAUCACUGAGAACAAAAAUCAUUAACAAAUCAGAAAUUUGAAUCAAAACCUAAAUCAUAUACAUGAUUACGAAAUCCCGUCAGAGUGCGAGCAAGGAGUGAAAUCCGUGCAAAUUGCACAAGAAGAUUGAGCACGUCGUCGUAAAAUGGAAGAGGUGAUCUCGCCGUCGCCGUGAAUGGAAGAGAUUGAGCACGUAAUGGAAGAGGUAAAAUGGAGUCAAAUCACGUCGACGUGAUCUCGCCGGUGAAACCACGUUGGAGCGGAGAGAAAGGGUGAGCACGUCGGAGCGGUGAGAAAGGGUUGCGGCGAGAAAGGGUGAGCACGUCGGAGCGGUGAGACCGUCGGAGCAGUGAAAGUGUGAGCUGAGAGUGUGUGCAAUCAGAUUGUGAAAGUGUGAGCUGAGAACCCUAGGAUUAUUACAAGAUCCGAUGGUUGUAAAGUCUUUAUGCAUGGUGCAUAAGGAAAUCCUUAUGCACCAUAACUUUUGCCCUGCCGGACAUGUGCUGCAAAUAUUACCGAAUUCAAUGCAUUUAAUGGAGUGUAUUGGAUUAAGAUUUUAAAAUACUAUUUUAAUAAAAACAAGUCUUUGAGAUUUUAAAAGAGUUUGUGAGAUUGUAUCGAUUUUGUGAGAUUUUAAAAGAAUUUUUAUGUAAAAGAUUUUAUACACUCAAGAUUUUAAUGGAUUUAUCACACUGACUUUUAAAGAUUUUAAAAUUUCAAAGGAUUCAAUGAAUUUUAGGGGAAAAAGAACAAAUUUACAACCGUGAAUGAUAAAAUUAGUAAAAAAAUAAAGUCUAGCGUUUGGAAAGAAAAAAAAAAAACAAUAGAAAAUUCUUUUACUAUUGACUUUAAAAUUUUAAAGAUUUUAAGAAUUUUUAAAAGACUUUUUAAAAUCAAGAUUCUAUAAUUUGGAUUUUAAUUCAAAGACUUUUAAGAUUUUAAAGGACUUUAUUGAUUUAUAAAACAUGAAAUGACUCUGUAUUUUUAUCUAAUCCAUUGAACAAAUUUUCAAACUACUGUUCAUAAAUUUUUUAGUUUCUAUCUCUUAUUCCAGUUGGCAUUCUUCAAUGGAUUACAAUAAUCCUUGUUGUCGUUGCCUCAGCUAGCUUUGUUGCUUUGAACCUAAGGUCUUUUAUAGGAAAUAAUCUUGCAGUGGCCAUAAUUGCAGCAAUUUAUCUCGAGCCACCAUUAUCAAUACCACACACCAAUGGCUAGUUAUAUGUUGUUUGUGUUUUAUUGUUAGAUGGAUGCAAAGAGUUAACAACGUAAUGUGAAUUGUGAUCGACCAAUAUUUG
RNAcentral lists this long non-coding RNA (12227 nucleotides) under Medicago truncatula (barrel medic). Its description in RNAcentral is "long non-coding RNA (MTRU_LNC006632)". Lineage: Eukaryota; Viridiplantae; Streptophyta; Magnoliopsida; Fabales; Fabaceae. The record is from RNAcentral.